GCCCUUGUGGCGGAAUUGGCAGACGCGCAGCGUUCAGGACGCUGUGCUCAUUAUGAGCGUAGAGGUUCAAGUCCUCUCAAGGGCA
RNAcentral lists this transfer RNA (85 nucleotides) under candidate division WWE3 bacterium RIFOXYC1_FULL_39_7. RNAcentral's name for it is "tRNA-Leu". It matches the Rfam family "tRNA". Rfam says of the family: Transfer RNA (tRNA) molecules are approximately 80 nucleotides in length. Their secondary structure includes four short double-helical elements and three loops (D, anti-codon, and T loops). Lineage: Bacteria; candidate division WWE3. The record is from RNAcentral.